CUUUAAAAAUUAAAAUUGAACAUACACAAAAAUGUUUAGAAGAACUUUUAAAAUUAUAUGUGAAGCUUUUAAAACCGUCGACAUUAGACGCAACUAUUGUGAACAAGUUUUCGAUUUUGGAAAAGCAAAAGAAAAUAUGUACUUUCUUAAGAAGCAACAAAAACAAUUGAGAAAGCUAAAGAAACUGUUAGAACAAGAAGACAUAUCCAUUUCAGAAAAAAUUAAAGAACAAAAGAAGAUUAUGAAAAGCAUUGAAAAAACAACAAAAGAUCAAUAAUAUUGUUAAAAUUAAUAAUGUAUGUAGUGUUUUUAUUUAUAAAAUUUAUUUUUUAGAAAACUUUUUGUUUUUUAAGCAUUUCUAGUAUUUGGUGUCCUGCGGAGGCCAUCGUAGAGCAUAGGUUGGGUUAGUUUUCUUGGUGGCGGUCCAUAGUAUCUCCAUGGUGAUGGUUGGGCAUCUCUUGUAGCCUCAGUUGGAACAGUGAAAACCAUAAACACAGCAAGGAACACUCCAAAUAAAAUUGAUAAUUUCAUGUUGACUUUGUGAUAGGUUGAUAUUUAACUUAGAACAGUUAAUUUGUUUCUGAUAAUUAUAUUUUUAGUAAUGCUGCUUUUAUACUGUUCUUAUUAUUAUCAGUAUCAUAAGAUGCUGCAUAUGCAUUGUUGUUUGUGGAAUUCACUAGAGAACAAUAUGAUAAGUCGGAUCAAUCAGAU
Molecule: long non-coding RNA, 711 nt
Organism: Eupeodes corollae
Lineage: Eukaryota; Metazoa; Arthropoda; Insecta; Diptera; Syrphidae
Exons: 3
Source: RefSeq, a predicted model, not a curated record